RNAcentral lists this ribosomal RNA (799 nucleotides) under Lactobacillus sp. Makhdzir Mardan-1. RNAcentral's name for it is "bacterial SSU rRNA". It matches the Rfam family "Bacterial small subunit ribosomal RNA", at positions 42 to 805 of the family's 1533-position model. Lineage: Bacteria; Bacillati; Bacillota; Bacilli; Lactobacillales; Lactobacillaceae. The record is from RNAcentral.
GNNNGCNGCUAUACAUGCAAGUCGAGCGAGCGGUUUUAACGGAAGGCCUUCGGGCCGGAAGAUAGAAGCGCGAGCGGCGGAUGGGUGAGUAACACGUGGGCAACCUGCCCUCUAGCUUGGGAUACCACUUGGAAACAGGUGCUAAUACCAAAUAAGAAGUAAGAGCGCAUGCUCAAGCAGUAAAAGGCGGCUUUCGAGCUGUCACUAGAGGAUGGGCCCGCGGUGCAUUAGCUAGUUGGUAAGGUAACGGCUUACCAAGGCGAUGAUGCAUAGCCGAGUUGAGAGACUGACCGGCCACAUUGGGACUGAGACACGGCCCAAACUCCUACGGGAGGCAGCAGUAGGGAAUCUUCCACAAUGGACGCAAGUCUGAUGGAGCAACGCCGCGUGAGUGAAGAAGGUUUUCGGAUCGUAAAGCUCUGUUGUUGGUGAAGAAGGAUGUGGAUAGCAACUGAUCCAUAUUUGACGGUAAUCAACCAGAAAGUCACGGCUAACUACGUGCCAGCAGCCGCGGUAAUACGUAGGUGGCAAGCGUUGUCCGGAUUUAUUGGGCGUAAAGCGAACGCAGGCGGGAGAACAAGUCAGCUGUGAAAGCCCUCGGCUUAACCGGGGAAUGUCAACUGAAACUGUUUUUCUUGAGUGCAGAAGAGGAGAGUGGAACUCCAUGUGUAGCGGUGGAAUGCGUAGAUAUAUGGAAGAACACCAGUGGCGAAGGCGGCUCUCUGGUCUGUAACUGACGCUGAGGUUCGAAAGCAUGGGUAGCGAACAGGAUUAGAUACCCUGGUAGUCCAUGCCGUAA